UGGGGAAUAUUGCACAAUGGGCGCAAGCCUGAUGCAGCCAUGCCGCGUGUAUGAAGAAGGCCUUCGGGUUGUAAAGUACUUUCAGCGGGGAGGAAGGGAGUAAAGUUAAUACCUUUGCUCAUUGACGUUACCCGAAGAAGAAGCACCGGCUAACUCCGUGCCAGCAGCCGCGGUAAUACGGAGGGUGCAAGCGUUAAUCGGAAUUACUGGGCGUAAAGCGCACGCAGGCGGUUUGUUAAGUCAGAUGUGAAAUCCCCGGGCUCAACCUGGGAACUGCAUCUGAUACUGGCAAGCUUGAGUCUCGUAGAGGGGGGUAGAAUUCCAGGUGUAGCGGUGAAAUGCGUAGAGAUCUGGAGGAAUACCGGUGGCGAAGGCGGCCCCCUGGACGAAGACUGACGCUCAGGUGCGAAAGCGUGGGGAGCAAACAGG
This 429-nucleotide ribosomal RNA is filed under the name Chloroflexota bacterium. RNAcentral describes it as "Chloroflexi bacterium partial 16S ribosomal RNA". It matches the Rfam family "Bacterial small subunit ribosomal RNA", at positions 355 to 776 of the family's 1533-position model. The record is from RNAcentral. Lineage: Bacteria; Bacillati; Chloroflexota.